CACGGUUGCGCGGUGGCGCGAUGCAAAACGGCGGCGGCGGCUGGAGCUUGCAGGGGCCGGAUCCGUGCGCGGUGGGGGCUGGGGAUGUGGAUCCGAAGGCGGGCGGCGUGGGGGGGAUCGCCGGUGACAACGAGGAAGGCCGGAGCGCGGCUUCCCUUGUGGGUUCAUGGCAUCCACAGCUAUUGGGUAGAGAGGAGACAAGGAGGCGAGGGAGAGAAGAAGGGACAAAGGAAGAGCGGUGCGGUGACCUAGGCAGGAGCUCGCUGGAGCCGGGCGAUGGCGGACGGGCGCGGGAGACGGAGAGAUCCCGUGUGGCGGCGCGAAGUCCUUGCUGGUGGCGUCGACGGCUGGGCGUGCGACAUCACGGAGCCCUCCCGUUGCUACGGCGUCCGGUGGAGUGCCCUGAGGGCGCGGAUGCUGCUGCUGCACCAGCACCACCAGCCCAAGGUCAGCCUCCUCCACCUCGUUCUGUAGCGCAAUUCCCGUCUCGCACCAUGCUUCCUUACUUCUGCCCCGUUGGAUUGGAGAGCGUGUGCUCUCAGCUCUGCUGGGCCGGCUGUGCUCUGUUGCGUGCGAGCAAGGGAGAAGAGCGAGCUUGCUGAUUCUUCUUACCUGCAGCUCCAACACAAAAGCCAGCCAAUCGACUCUUGAUAGCAGAACACAAACAAUACAAGUAAACAGAAUUCUAAGACAGCCAAGGUGGAUAUGAUAGCAGCGGAAGUAAUUGCUAAUUUAAGUGUAAGAACAUUGUGUGUUAUUCUAUCUUGGUCUUGCUUUUCUUCUUGGAUAACUUCUCUAAUCUCCCAAUAGAUUUCUUGGGUUGGCGUGGUUGUUAGUAUUAGUUAAUACAAACCCUGGCUAUAUAUGAAUUUUGUUACUUGAAAUGUUCAAUACAAGUGUUGAUUUGAAAAAAUAAAAUUGUGUGUAAGUAAUCAUGUGACCAUAUUGGAUGAAGGUGACCCAUAAAUUCAUUCAGUUAAUUGAAUUCUUUUUGCCUUCUACUCAAGAUAGGUACCUAGGCUCUAAUAAUUUCAGUGGCAACUACAUCCGAACUUUGUCACAUCUUUCUACUUAAAAAUUGUGAUUAUAUCAUUUGUCAUCUGAAAACCAGACUCAUGUGUACAUUAUGGGACAUAAUGUCCAGGAAAUAAUCACCAGGUACAGACAUCACUCUUGACCUACAUUGUACAACAUUGCAUAAUUUUCUGUUUUUCUUGAGGUAUCGCUCAGUAUUUUUUAUCGCAAACAUAGAUAGAACAAAGGCCACAAGAGUUGAUUUGGUACACCUUGCUGCAUGCGCUCUCACUUGAUUAAGAUAUUCAAAGUGUGAGCUUUGGAAAUUUCCAAAAAUAAGUCAGAUUCUCAUUAUUAACCUAUGUGCACAUGCCAAUAUUUCUGACUCUGACAUAUUGUGUUUGAUAAUAAUUUGAUGAACCACCAUGUCGCCCUUCCGCCUGGUUCCAUGGGAAAGUAAUUUACAAAGCUCUAGUUGGUCAAUACAGCCUACAUGUUUUUUUUGAAUAGGCAGCCUACAGGUUGACUUUUUUUUUUUAGUUCCAUGUUUUCUAGCAUUGCUUAACUUUAUUUGAAAAAGUGUUGUAGUUAUGUAUGCAGGAUACAGUACUAGAGGUGUAUGCAGGAUAUAGUACUGGAGUUGGAGUUUCAGGGCAUCCAAAAAGAAUUUACUAUGCUUCAACCCAUGUUUUCUACCAUUGUUUACCUUUAAUUGAAAAAAAUUAUUGUUGUUAUGUAUGCAGGAUAAAGAGUACUAGAGUUGGAAUUUCAGGGCAUCCACAAAGAAUUUACUAUGCUUCAGGCAAGAAAAGUUAAUUUGUUUGACCUUUGUAAGGACUACAUUACUAGCUUAAUGCAUGGAACUUAUUGAGCUGCAGACAUGGCAUGUGCGCACAUAGAGACCUGCUGCAUCAAAGCUCGGUGCGGAUACACCUCUUCUUAUAGGAGAGGUUGUGUACAACUUAUGUUGAGCUUAAAUUUCCAUAAUAAAACGUGUGUUUUUAUUUAUCAUGGUUUCUCCUCCUACAAAACCAAACAUUUUCAGAUGUUGUUUUUUCAUUUCCUUCCGACGCUAUUAAAUCUCAUUCUUACCUAUGUUGAAAUGGUUCCAGUGUGUGUGUGAUGCAUUGCUUUCCUUAGUUUUCGGAGGAACAUGGUGCUAUUCCUGGUGUUUUUGGUUAUGGAAAAGCUGGCGUUAGUCAGGAACUUUCUAAGGUGAUCACCUUAUUGCUCCGUUCUCAUCAUACCGUCUCUACACUAUCUACUGAGUUUAAAAAUCCAUGUUGUACUCUAAUUCUGAAGCUUUGGUUUAUGUUGGAUGUGGCUGAAAGAGGAAAUAAGAUAGCCAACGUUUAAUGGAUUUCCCCCAAUCGACAAUGACAUUUCCUCACAUGAUGUGAAGAGUGGAGCCGCUUAAAGUAAAUGGCGAGCUCACCAUGGUCGUACUACAGAUUGGGAGCCGCCGACCAUGACCCGAUGACCCGAUGACCCACUGGUGAGGCAUUCAAGGGACAAACAGGAGCUCACGAUUUUUAGGGAUGAGGAGGAGCUUGCAAUUUCCAGGCUCGGCCUGCCCGACCUGCCGCCGCAUGUGGAACACUAGGAGUCUGGUGUUUUCUCUGCAGUGAAGCACAAAUGUUCCCGGGUGCAACUCACGGGCUCUUUUGCUUUUACACACUUCAUUUUGUAAUUUUAGUGUUUGACUAAUAGUACAUCUGUUGGAACAAGUGCAAAGGCAACAUCAUCUUCCAGCAAAAAAAAUUCCCCUGCGUUGAGCACUUCAGAGAUGCACUAGGAGAGAGCAGGUUCUGGUGGACAAAGAGGUGAUAAGCGAUGAACUCUUCCAGUAUAAAAGUUGAUGGUCCUAAUUCCUUUAUAGUUUAUUUCUUGAUAACUUUAGGUUACAAAACAUCUCUGUGACUUUUCGUGUUUUGUGAUAAUAUAUUUGAUUAUAGUCACAGACUAUGCAAAAUGAUUAUUUAUGUUCCUAAUUUAUCUUCAUCUUUCAUAGUGGUAGGGAAACAUCACCUUUAGUUCGCAUGAGCUAGGACUUCACAAAAUUUGUCAAUAGCAUUGAUCAGGAUAUAAUUUUUCUUAUUACUUUCUAUUUUUAGACAAGAAAGAACCAUAGAGAAUCUCAAUCCUUAUACUGUAGCAGUACCUGCAGUAGAGCAAGCCGUUGUCACAAAUUUAACAGAAGAUGGAAAAGAAUGGUUGCUUUUGUUGCAGGUUACUCCAAGAAGUGUAUUGUUAAACUAGAUGUUGUAUAUUAUCCAUCCAUCAUCUGGAUGCUUGUGUGUCCUGCGACAAAUCCGAGCUUAAUCAGGAUAAUCUGAUUAGUGUAUCACAAGUCUGCUUUUUCUAACUGUACCAACUCUGUACUUAUUUUAGCGUUUUACAUAAUGUGUAGAUUUUUCAGAACAAAAAGAAGUGAAUCCAUAUAACCUAAUUUUGCUAUAUUAUUUAGUUCAAAAUGACUUUGUAAAUCCCAGUUUCUCCAGUAUUGCAACUCUGCGUCAAAUUGGCCAAUUAAACUGAUAUUUCUAUUUGGACAACUUUAAUUUGUAAUAUCAUGAUUUUCCUUUCUAGAAACCACUUCAACUAGGCUAGGGCUAUGUCUAUUAGUCCUCCUCCAGUAUUUGUUGAAAUGAGAUAACACAUGUUUCUUCAAGUGUCUACACACUACAUGUAGUAAGUUUCUUAUAGAAGUAGUGAAACCUGGAUACCAAUUUAUUGGAACAUUAUAUUUCUUAUAGAAGUAGUCAAACAAGGAUAUCAAUUUAUUGGAACCAUCAAGAGGACGGCACUCCUGGAUGGUAUAUGUUCUCCCUCUUAUGCCUAUUUGAAAUAGCUUGUAGGUCUGUACUUUGCCACUCAUAUGGUAGUACUCAACUGUUGCAAGGAUGAAUACUACACUUUUAUGAGCCACGGGCCACUAUUGUUUAUCAUAUGGAUUGUAGAUGUAGUGGUAACGUACCACCUUUUUUUUGCUAUUACCUAUAAGGCAGUGAAAAAAUAGAAUAAAAAGGUUCAUUAGAGAAAUAAUAGAAUUGGCAAUUGAAUAUCCAAUGGCUAUGAUUUUAUAUCUAUGUGGGAGAUUGAUGUAUGAUUACGUGCAAAGUAUACAAGUGAAAAACAUUAUUAUUUAUUUAGAUGAGCUAUUACCAGAAUUUUUUGUCACAGAUGGAGGGAUCCCAAAUCUUUAUUAUAAUUAUCAGAAACAUGACUCUAGGCCCUAAAGGAACAAGAAAAAUACAUAACAACUCCCUCGACUUUUAUAAAACAGAGCUCAAACUGAGAAAAAACAUGAUCGUGUCCUUGCGUCUUGUUGUUUCCAGGGACGAGCCACUUAGGACAACGAGGUUGCUGUGGCUAGGCCAUACAUAGCCCCGAAUAGAAGAAACACAAGGCCGCCUUACAACCCGAAGAGUCAUCGGAGACGAGGCCAAAUGUUGGGCACAAGCUGGGCCAAAUUUGCUUACCCUUCUGCAACGCAUAGGCCUUUUUGCUAGUUAAUGUUUAUAUAUGAAUUGCAAAAGCAUCCAUUGCCUGUAUUUCAAACCGCUCUCACUCUAUGGAUCGAUAAUAUGAAAUAAACACAUGCACAUGCUAGAAUUCAA
Long non-coding RNA from Triticum aestivum (bread wheat), 4634 nucleotides. RefSeq lists it as uncharacterized. Lineage: Eukaryota; Viridiplantae; Streptophyta; Magnoliopsida; Poales; Poaceae. The transcript has 2 exons. The record is from RefSeq and is a predicted model, not a curated record.